CUGGUUUCUUAAUGCAUAAUGAGAAAAGGCUCUGGCACAAAACAAAGGGCAGUUUCAGAGGUCCUGGGCCAAGAGGAGCCUCCGUGCAUCCUUACCUUCAAAGGGGAUGCUGUCCAUCAAUCAAGAGGUAUUCACCGAGCAGGAACGACCGAGAAAGCCCUCUUUGGGGGAAGGCAGCUUCCGUGUGUUUUACAGUUUAACCAUGUUGCUAAAGGAAUGGCUUUCAUUUGGUCUUACACUCAGUUUUCUCACAGUGGAUCCUCCCACAUUCCCCUGAAGUGGAGAGCGUGACUCUCUAUCUCUGUUUUCAUGGGGGCGGGGGAGGGGGGCGGCCAGUGGAAACAAGUGCCUUGCCCUUCAGUGCAGAGGCAGGCCUGCUGGGGGCAAGGACCUUGGGCUUUACCCAGCUCCACUCGGAGCGAACCUCCCUCCCCGCUUGUAGUCUUCCCGGGUGUCGAUUUUCCGCACACACGGGCUUCCCACUAAUCUCCUGGCAAGUUCCUACCAGCCCAGGCCCCUUCCCUGGCAGAGCGGCUGGGGUUGGCUUUGGAGGCAGGAGGUGACGGUUCCCUCGCAGUCCCCCUUCUGGGCUCUCCUCACCGAAUAAACAGAGGCCGGCCACCUUGGAGCAGGUCGCUGUAUUGCUACGUCGCAACCUCCGGGGACCGUGCUCUCUCCAGGAGCAGGGUUUCUCUAGCUCUCCGGAUCUCAGAGGUCACCAGCGUGGGUUCCAGGCCUGGCAGUCUCUGGGGAAGCCUUUUAAGAACACGGACCGCCAGCUGCAUCACCCUCUACCCCUGCCCCCCUCCAUCCACUCCCCGUGUUGAAUCCGAAUCGCUCAGGGGAGGGUCCAGAAAUCGGUCACUCAAAAAAAAAAAAAAACCUUCCUGAUGAUUCUUGACUCCGCCAGAUUGGCAUUUGGAGGCACUGAGUGGCAGUGGUCUCACUGGUGGGGAAGAAGGGUGGCAGGUCGUGACUCAGAGUACAGUGCGCCUGCGUGUCGGCCCUGGAGUCCCUCACGGGACACCUGCUUACUGUGUGACCUGCAGAGGCUUUGUCGGAGCUCCCAGUUUCCUUGGUGAGACUCCCCAGUACCUGGCUUCUGGGGGUGCGACUGUGGGGGUGGUCCAGGAAGGGAUGAGGCCUGG
This is a long non-coding RNA of Phyllostomus discolor (pale spear-nosed bat), 1148 nucleotides long. RefSeq lists it as uncharacterized. NCBI's taxonomy places the organism in Eukaryota, Metazoa, Chordata, Mammalia, Chiroptera, Phyllostomidae. The transcript is spliced from 3 exons. The record is from RefSeq and is a predicted model, not a curated record.